UGGCGACCGGCGCACGGGUGCGUAACGCGUAUGCAACCUACCUGUAACAGGGGGAUAAACACUGAGAAAUCGGUACUAAUACCGCAUAACACUAUGAGAGGCAUCUCUUGUGGUUGAAAGUUUCGGCGGUUACAGAUGGGCAUGCGUUGUAUUAGCUGGUUGGUAAGGUAACGGCUUACCAAGGCGACGAUACAUAGGGGGACUGAGAGGUUAACCCCCCACAUUGGUACUGAGACACGGACCAAACUCCUACGGAAGGCAGCAG
This 265-nucleotide ribosomal RNA is filed under the name uncultured bacterium. Its description in RNAcentral is "partial 16S ribosomal RNA". It matches the Rfam family "Bacterial small subunit ribosomal RNA", at positions 89 to 354 of the family's 1533-position model. The record is from RNAcentral.